This 508-nucleotide ribosomal RNA is filed under the name uncultured bacterium. Its description in RNAcentral is "partial 16S ribosomal RNA". It matches the Rfam family "Bacterial small subunit ribosomal RNA", at positions 30 to 523 of the family's 1533-position model. The record is from RNAcentral.
AUUGAACGCUGGCGGCAUGCCUUACACAUGCAAGUCGAACGGCAGCGGGGGAGAAGCUUGCUUUUCCUGCCGGCGAGUGGCGAACGGGUGAGUAAUACAUCGGAACGUGCCCUGUAGUGGGGGAUAACUAGUCGAAAGAUUAGCUAAUACCGCAUACGACCUGAGGGUGAAAGCGGGGGACCGCCAGGCCCCAUGCUAUAGGAGCGGCCGAUGUCUGAUUAGCUAGUUGGUGGGGUAAAGGCCUACCAAGGCGACGAUGAGUAGCUGGUCUGAGAGGACGAUCAGCCACACUGGGACUGAGACACGGCCCAGACUCCUACGGGAGGCAGCAGUGGGGAAUUUUGGACAAUGGGCGAAAGCCUGAUCCAGCAAUGCCGCGUGUGUGAAGAAGGCCUUCGGGUUGUAAAGCACUUUUGUCCGGAAAGAAAUGGCUCUGGUUAAUACCUGGGGUCGAUGACGGUACCGGAAGAAUAAGGACCGGCUAACUACGUGCCAGCCGCCGCGGUAA